UCUUAAUGACAAAAACAGAAAGAAGCACAUUGACUAUUAAAGCCUAUUCUUUCAAAUACAUGUGUAAAGUAUCCUUCACACUGCGUUUUAGAGGUGAAACGUGAACUUACUCUGCUUGCCUAUUCGUAUAAAAACUAGACCUCAAAAGGUACUCAAGUAUGUAAUAGUUAAAGCCAGUUCAUCAGUUCUUUAAAUGUGUUAAACCAAAAAUGUUACUCGUUUUUAAACAUUAAAAAAAUUCAACCAACCAUUUGUCAUAUUGCUAAGCAUCACUUUUUAGAUAAAGGAUUAUUUGAAGUUAGAUAAACAUUUCCAGACAGUUUGUUCAAGGGCAUCUAAAAUCUCUUUUGGUAGAAACGGUUUACCAGUAUCAUCAAGAGUCUGCCUAUGUGGUUAAGAUAUUUUCAUAUGUAUUUGUUAAGGGUGAUAUUUAUAGCCUUGGAACUAGUACACAUAGCUGAAGAGUCCCAUCUGUGAAAGAACCUGGGAAGGCCAUACAUUGAGGAGCGCAGUGCUCACUGCGUGCUUGAAAGACAGGCACUUUUGCCAAAUGUGCUCUUCUUUCUUUAUGAUAAAAUUCUGGAAAUAGAGUUAUUGAAUCCAUUUUCACAUUCGGAAUUUCUCUCUCCUUGCAGAAAUUGUCUUGUGCUCUGGGUAGGGAUUAAGUAACAUGCCAUGUCUUCAAUUACCUGACUAUUUGGAGUACAAAAUACAAUUAGAUUUGUACUUACUGUCUGAAUAGCCUGUACUUUCCAACUAAAUAUCCCAUAGAUGAGACUGAGUGUGAGCCACCACGCCCAGCCAGUUGGAGUAGUUCUUUAGUCCAAACCUCAUGGUGACUUGUGUUCAGAUCACACCCAUCACUGGCUAGGGUAUUAACUUAGCAAAUUUAUCUCCUGAUUUCUACAUGUGAGUGAGGUAAUGAUUUUACAGGCCUGAACAAGAUGCAAUGAUGCACUGAAAUAAAGCCUCGCUGACUGACCUCUUACCACCAGUGUGGUCCCUCCUCCUGUCUGUUUAGCUCUCGCUUCCGGCACACUGGGGAAUGCUAUUCCACAGAUGUAAAUUGCACUGUCAUUUGAAGUCACUCUGUUUACAGUGAGGGAAACUUGGUUUUCUUUGAGGGCCUCCCUCACUGUGAACUUGUCUGCCUCACUUUUGCACCCGUCCAAGCACAGGUUCUCAGGCUGGUGAGCACCGUAGCGAAACCACAGGCAUGUUGGUUGCUCAGAAGGGCAUCCGGUUGCGGAGAAGGUACACUUUAUGGUGACGGCCUCAUGAGUGUAGUCCACUUCUAGGUACCACGGUUGUGUGACA
Long non-coding RNA from Homo sapiens (human), 1317 nucleotides. RefSeq lists it as uncharacterized. The record is from RefSeq and is a predicted model, not a curated record. Lineage: Eukaryota; Metazoa; Chordata; Mammalia; Primates; Hominidae. The transcript has 2 exons.